This is a non-coding RNA of Oscillibacter sp. KLE 1745, 364 nucleotides long. Lineage: Bacteria; Bacillati; Bacillota; Clostridia; Eubacteriales; Oscillospiraceae. The record is from Rfam.
GGGGGUGUACCGGUUUCGACGGGGGUAUGGAGGCGGGACCAGCGGGCGGCGGCGCCUGACCGCCAUAAAACGGGCAAUUUAUAAAUCAAAUAACAACAGACAAGUUGCUAUUGCUGCCUAAUUAAAGGCGGCCGUCUGAACCGGAGUGGCCACAGGCCGGGGAAGGCGUCGUUGAUGUGGCGUCCGUGCGGCGGGGAAGAGUUGCCCCGCCCACGCAUGAUGACUCUCACCUGACCGGACGGCGUGACGGCUUGCCGUCCGGAAGGGGAACAGGGAGAAAGACUCCCGCAAUAACCGUCUGCGCCCGGAGAAAGUCCCGUUAAAGUGCUUUCGGACAGGGGUUCAACUCCCCUCACCUCCACCA